UUUUCAUUCAAAUUGCAAAUUAAGUAGCUGACAUAGGCUCAUAGCUUCAAGAAUAACACCAUGUUCAUUAAACAAAAAAGAAUGAAGCAGCUUAGUCAAAAAUCUCGAGGACCAAUCGGUACGCACAAUUCGAAACUCAAUGGAUAAUGAGCCCACUACUCUACCCUUCUACUUCUAUACCAGGAUUUGUCACUAGCCCGAAACUCGAUGGCAAUGAGCCACUAGGAUUUGG
RNAcentral lists this unclassified non-coding RNA (232 nucleotides) under Hevea brasiliensis (rubber tree). The record is from RNAcentral. Lineage: Eukaryota; Viridiplantae; Streptophyta; Magnoliopsida; Malpighiales; Euphorbiaceae.